RNAcentral lists this ribosomal RNA (257 nucleotides) under uncultured bacterium. Its description in RNAcentral is "partial 16S ribosomal RNA". It matches the Rfam family "Bacterial small subunit ribosomal RNA", at positions 96 to 354 of the family's 1533-position model. The record is from RNAcentral.
CGGCGGACGGGUGAGUAACGCGUGGACAACCUGCCCUAUGCAGGGGGAUAACAUCCGAAACGGGUGCUAAUACCGCAUAAGCGCACAGUACCGCAUGGUACGGUGUGAAAAGCUGAGGCGGCAUAGGAUGGGUCCGCGUUGGAUUAGGCAGUUGGCGGGGUAACGGCCCACCAAACCAACGAUCCAUAGCCGGCCUGAGAGGGUGGACGGCCACAUUGGGACUGAGACACGGCCCAGACUCCUACGGAAGGCAGCAG